Molecule: ribosomal RNA, 468 nt
Filed under: uncultured bacterium
Lineage: Bacteria
Description: partial 16S ribosomal RNA
Rfam family: Bacterial small subunit ribosomal RNA
Source: RNAcentral
GACGAACGCUGGCGGCGUGCUUAACACAUGCAAGUCGAACGGAAAGGCCCUGCUUUUGUGGGGUGCUCGAGUGGCGAACGGGUGAGUAACACGUGAGUAACCUGCCCUUGACUUUGGGAUAACUUCAGGAAACUGGGACUAAUACCGGAUAGGAGCUCCUGCUGCAUGGUGGGGGCUGGAAAGUUUCGGCGGUUGGGGAUGGACUCGCGGCUUAUCAGCUUGUUGGUGGGGUAGUGGCUUACCAAGGCUUUGACGGGUAGCCGGCCUGAGAGGGUGACCGGCCACAUUGGGACUGAGAUACGGCCCAGACUCCUACGGGAGGCAGCAGUGGGGAAUAUUGCACAAUGGGCGGAAGCCUGAUGCAGCAACGCCGCGUGCGGGAUGACGGCCUUCGGGUUGUAAACCGCUUUCGCCUGUGACGAAGCGUGAGUGACGGUAAUGGGUAAAGAAGCACCGGCUAACUACGUG